This 569-nucleotide ribosomal RNA is filed under the name Cordyceps acridophila. RNAcentral describes it as "eukaryotic LSU rRNA". The stretch from base 216 to 369 matches the Rfam family "5.8S ribosomal RNA". Lineage: Eukaryota; Fungi; Ascomycota; Sordariomycetes; Hypocreales; Cordycipitaceae. The record is from RNAcentral.
GGAAGUAAAAGUCGUAACAAGGUCUCCGUUGGUGAACCAGCGGAGGGAUCAUUACCGAGUUUUCAACUCCCCAACCCUUACGUGAACCUACCUAUCGUUGCUUCGGCGGACUCGCCCCAGCCCGGACGCGGGCUGGGCCAGCGGUCCGCCGGGGGCCCUAAACUCCUGUAUUCUUAGCACCUUCUGAGUACGCCGCAAGGCAAAAAACGAAUCAAAACUUUCAACAACGGAUCUCUUGGCUCUGGCAUCGAUGAAGAACGCAGCGAAAUGCGAUACGUAAUGUGAAUUGCAGAAUCCAGUGAAUCAUCGAAUCUUUGAACGCACAUUGCGCCCGCCAGCACUCUGGCGGGCAUGCCUGUUCGAGCGUCAUUUCAACCCUCGACCUCCCCCCGGGGCGGUCGGCGUUGGGGAUCGGCAGCACACCGCCGGCCCUGAAAUGCAUCGGCGGCGCGUCCGCGGCGACCUCUGCGAAGUAUCCAGCUCGCACCGGGAACCCGACGCGCUACUGCCGCAAAACGUCUGGACGCCGACCUCGAAUCAGGUAGGACUACCCGCUGAACUUAAGCAUA